Molecule: unclassified non-coding RNA, 332 nt
Filed under: soil metagenome
Description: partial contains 5.8S ribosomal RNA, internal transcribed spacer 2, and large subunit ribosomal RNA
Rfam family: 5.8S ribosomal RNA (bases 1-120)
Source: RNAcentral
GAUGAAGAACGUAGUGAAAUGCGAUAAGUAAUGUGAAUUGCAGAAUUCCGUGAAUCAUCGAAUCUUUGAACGCACAUUGCGCCCUUUGGUAUUCCUUAGGGCAUGCCUGUUCGAGCGUCAUUUAAACCUUCAAGCUAAGCUUGGUGUUGGGUGACUGUCCGCUUCACGGCGGACUCGCCUCAAAAUUAUUGGCGGCCGGUACAUUGGCUUCGAGCGCAGCAGAAACGCGAACUCGGGCCCGUCGUAUUGGCUCCCAGAAGCUAUCUUCACAAUUUUGACCUCGGAUCAGGUAGGGAUACCCGCUGAACUUAAGCAUAUCAAUAAGCGGAGGA